UUCCACAGAGGAAGCGCUUGAUUGAGUUAGUUACGCACGUGGGACUGAGCAGUGGAUGGGAUUUCCUUUGCUAAAUGAUAGAAUAUGGCUGGGAUUAAGUGUCAGUGCGCGACCUUUUCCAACUAAAACCAUUUACCUGGGCAGGAAGAAUGUUUCUGGUUGUGUGUCAGAUCAGCAGAAGAUGUUCCCUUUUAAACGCCAGUAAUUGCACCCGUUUUUCAAGAGGAUUGAGGCACUCUGCCGCCCUCACCCAGAGGUUAGCAAGGAAAAAUGAAACGGUAGCAUAGAGACAACUGCUAGGCCAUUUAUGUGGGACAGAAAGAACAACGUGGAGCUCUGUGAUGCUGUUAAGAAGACACUUUGCUCAUCUAAGUACAGAGAGUGAUACAAGCGUAAUGUCUUCAGAGCAGAAAUUGCCAUCUAUCAAAUUAUAUCCACAGGAGACUCAAGUAUCACCUGGCACAAAGUUGAAUGCACUCAGCAAAGGUCUUUAAUACCAAUUAAGGAGAGACAUCUGUUCCUCAAGUGUUUGGGCAGAGCUGUAUAUGAUCCAACGAAGCCAAACUAUGUCUCCUUAGACAAACUAACAUUGUCUCCUGAUGAGAUCUUCUGUGUGGAAGUUGCCAAGGCAUCGGUGCAAGAUUAUGAGCAGUUCCUGAAAACUCUUUGAAUAACAAGCAAUGAGAGUAAUGAGAACUGUGUUUUCCUUGCUGCAAUUAGGCACCUGUAUAUAGUGUGUAUGCACACAUGGAGAAUAUCUAUUUAUCAUUCUUAUAAUGUCAGUUCAGUAACAUUGUAAUAUGUGAAUUUGUAUAUGAUCCUUGGCUUGUUAUGAAUAAAAAAUAUCCUCAGCGUU
Xenopus laevis (African clawed frog) is the source of this 856-nucleotide long non-coding RNA. RefSeq lists it as uncharacterized. Lineage: Eukaryota; Metazoa; Chordata; Amphibia; Anura; Pipidae. The transcript is spliced from 3 exons. The record is from RefSeq and is a predicted model, not a curated record.